This is a non-coding RNA of Pogona vitticeps (central bearded dragon), 4078 nucleotides long. Lineage: Eukaryota; Metazoa; Chordata; Lepidosauria; Squamata; Agamidae. The record is from RefSeq and is a predicted model, not a curated record.
CAUGGCUGCGCUGCCUGGGACCGUACCGAGGAUGAUGCGCCCAGCGCCCGGACAGAAUUAUCCCCGCACCGGAUUCCCUUUGGAAGUCUCGACCCCGCUGGGCCAAGGCCGGGUCAACCAGCUGGGGGGCGUCUUUAUCAACGGCAGACCCCUCCCCAACCACAUCCGCCACAAGAUCGUGGAAAUGGCGCACCACGGGAUCCGGCCCUGCGUGAUCUCCCGCCAGCUGCGCGUCUCGCACGGCUGCGUGUCGAAAAUCCUCUGCCGGUACCAAGAGACCGGAUCCAUCCGCCCCGGCGCCAUCGGGGGCAGCAAGCCCAGGCAGGUCGCCACUCCGGACGUGGAGAAAAAAAUUGAAGAAUACAAACGGGAAAACCCGGGGAUGUUUAGCUGGGAGAUCCGGGACCGACUUCUCAAAGAUGGCCAUUGCGACCGGAGCACCGUCCCUUCAGGUUUAGUGAGUUCGAUUAGCCGGGUUCUCCGAAUCAAGUUCGGGAAGAAAGAGGAAGAGGACGACUGCGACAAGAAAGAGGAGGACGGCGAGAAGAAAGCCAAGCACAGCAUCGACGGCAUUUUGGGUGACAAAGGCAACAGGCUGGAUGAAGGCUCCGAUGUUGAGUCCGAACCUGAUCUGCCCCUCAAGCGGAAGCAGCGCCGCAGCCGGACCACCUUCACCGCGGAACAGCUGGAAGAACUAGAGAAAGCCUUCGAGAGGACCCAUUACCCUGACAUCUACACACGAGAAGAGCUAGCUCAGAGGACCAAGCUCACCGAGGCGAGAGUCCAGGUCUGGUUCAGCAACCGGCGAGCCCGAUGGCGCAAACAGGCUGGUGCCAACCAGCUGGCCGCCUUCAACCACCUCUUGCCAGGGGGCUUUCCACCCACCGGGAUGCCGACUUUGCCCCCUUACCAGCUGCCAGAUUCAACCUACCCAACGACCACUCUUUCCCAAGAUGGGGGCAGCACCGUCCACAGACCCCAACCUCUCCCGCCAUCCACCAUGCACCAGGGGGGGUUGGCCGCUGCCGCGGUGGACUCCAGCUCUACCUAUGGGGCCCGACACAGCUUCUCCAGUUACUCUGACAGCUUCAUGAACCCCACAGCUCCAGCGAAUCACAUGAAUCCAGUCAGCAACGGCCUCUCUCCACAGGUGAUGAGCAUCCUAAGCAACCCCAGCGGGGUCCCCCCGCAGCCCCAGGCCGACUUCUCCAUCUCCCCACUCCACAGCAGCCUGGACACGGCCAACUCCAUCUCGGCCAGCUGCAGCCAGCGCAGUGACUCCAUCAAGUCCGUGGAGAGCCUCCCGACUUCGCAGUCUUACUGCCCGCCCACCUACACCACCACCGGCUACAGCGUGGACCCCGUGGCCGGCUACCAGUACGGACAGUACGGGCAAACUGCCGUUGACUAUUUGACCAAGAAUGUCAGUCUGUCCACACAGCGCAGGAUGAAGCUCGGGGAACAUUCGGCUGUGCUGGGCCUGCUACCUGUCGAGACGGGCCAAGCUUACUGACAGGUUCACCCACAUGACGUCUCUUCCACCGACAGUCUGCCGUCAAUGAGACACAAGAUUAACAGGAAAAGAAAGAAAAGAAUCCCACCGCUGCCACCAGUUCGCAAAGGACCAACCCCCAUGCUUCAUGCUUCUCCUCCUGGAACUCACGACAACGGACUUUUGCAAUCCUGCUUCCCCUGCAGUGGCAGCCAGGGUGGAGUGGAAGGAGACUGAAGAACUGGCCAUCUCUCCAAAUUCUUAUCCACAUAUAACGUCAUCAAUCGCUUCAAGGACCAGAGAUGAUGAGCUUGGUCAAAUGAGAUUUCCAGUGUUCCCGCUCUCCUUGACCAGCUCAACACAACCAACGUGGAUGGACCUUCCCCUUGAUGUCACAUGGGGCUUAGUCAUUGUGGAUUCUGUCUUCUUCGUAAUAAUAUAGAUAUAGGUUUAGAUAUAUUCUGUUUGUCCACCUACCUGACCCCUGGCCCCCACUCACCAGCCCCGUUUUUCUUAAUUGUACUAUGACCUACAUUUGCCUGAGAAGGUAAAGUCUGGGUUGAUUGAUGUGUUGAUUUUGGGACCAAGUGGGACGUGUUUGGACCAAAAACGAAGAAGGAAUGGCUGAGAAAAGGCAAUGUGAACCAUGAAUGUUGGGUUGAUCUGUUCCAGCACUAGGUCAAUGGAUGUGAGGGGAGAAGGGGGAAGAGAUCAGGUGUUUGUAAGUUUUUAUGGAGUAGGGACCACAAGGAGCUCAGUCAUAUGGGAAUGGUGUUUGAGAAAGCAGGAGGUUUGGUUCGAUGGAACGCCACGCAGCAUUCCCUAGAAGGACAAGUGCUCCAUAGGGACCAGCUAAAAAUGAGUUAACAUUCUUCCAUGCAGAUAGUCAUGCAACAGCUUGGUGGAAGAUGGGGUUUGCCACAAGGGAUGGAACAGCUUGGAUCUUCAUGGGGUUGGACACGAUUGCAAAGGUCAUCCAAAGGGGGGAUGGGAGCGUGGCACAAGGCAUAAUGGCAUGGCUCAAUCCGUCACCAUGGCAGCUUCUACAACCAGCCACUUUCUGGAUGGCUUGAAGUGGCACCUGUCUUUCAGCCCCACAGUUGCCAAGGAGUCCACCUAAGUAAGAAGUCACACCCCAAAAUAAGAGGGGUGCCUUUGCUUCAUGCACAAUUCUAUAGGAAAAAAAAGAAGAUAUCCAGGAACGGGAGGGGUCAAUAUGGGAUGACCCCCCCAUCCUAGCCAGCAUUCCAGAAGUGGGUAGAUUCUCCUCCCAUGACCCCAAAUCAGUGGUCCUACCAACCUGCUAACCCAUCACUCUUGGGAAAGGAGCCGUAGUCCCUUCGAGAGACCAUCGGGUUCACUUCCUAUUAUCUCUGGCGAAGGCGCCCAACAGAGAAGACCACACCCGUGCAACCACGGAGCUCAAGCGAGGAGGACUUUAAUGGUUGCUCUCCUCGAUUCAUCAUCUACCCCCACCACCUUGAAUGUUCCACUUUUAAAACACUCGCUGAAGUCUGUAUAUAUAGAUCACACCCUUUUAAAAAUGUUCUUAAGAAAGGUUUGUGGCAAAAAAAGGACCCAUACAUUCCAUGUUCAUUGACUCCUGCCUUGAGCAGAGGGGGGGGGUUGGACUCGAUGGCCUUAGAGGCCCCCUCCAACUCUGUUCUUCUCUGAUCAUUCCUAUGACGAGCCGUCAGAUCCCAUGCGGUUAAUUCUGAAUUCCAUGCGCUUUAGAUGCACCGCCAGGUUUUCCUCCUCCACCACUUCCUCUGUCAAUUUCCAAGGAGGUGUUUUAGAGAUCUCUCACUCAACAGAAACCCGUCUCCCAGUCCAGACCUUCCGCUGGGAUGAAUUGGGGGAAUCUGGGAUUUCCCAUAAGAGAGAAUUUGAUGCGCAGUGUACGCACAACUUGGGAGCCGUGGCUGGACGGAGGUGAUGAGAUGGUUGCUCUUGUUAUUGUGUUUAGGGGAAACGAGGAGUUCCUUUCUGUUCUCCCCCCGCCCCCGGGCAUAAUUCCGAUAUGAUUUUAUGUCUUUUUGUGUAUUGUUUAACUCCCCCACAUCCGGACGGGUCCUGCACUCCUGGUGGGCAGAGGGAGGGGGAAAAGACACACCCCUACCGCUCAGAGAUUUUCGUUAUUGUAUUUAAUGUUUCUAACUUGGCAACCUUAACCACUUCAUAUACCCAAACCUGGAGUAAUAUUAUCUGUAGAACAUACCUUUAAUCCUAGUAACCGCACAUAUGUUGCUUCUGUGUUUGAGUCAUAGCUUAUUUCGCUCCAUAUGUACAUGUGCGUGAGUGCAUGGGUGUACAAGGGAGGGCAAAUGAGUGAGGGUGUGUGUGUGAGAGAAAGGGUGUGUGUGCGUGGGUGGGUGCGAGAGAGAGAGAGAGAGAGAGAAUAUGUGUUCAUGUGUGUAUGUAGAUAUAUAUAAAUAUAUAUAUAAUCACCCCAUAAUUUAUUCAGCUAUAUGGAGUCGUAGAGUAGAAAAACCAAACUGGGUAUUUUGCUUUAAGUACCUCCGCUGCCUGUAGGUGUCUCUCUCUCUGUAACUCAGGCGUUAACUGUUAUACAUUAAAAGGAAGAAA